CCAGCCUUAGCUCAGUUGGAAGAGCAGCGGAUUGUAGUGGUAUGAUAAUAAUAGUUCUCCGCGGGUCAGGUGUUCGAAUCACCUAGGCUGGACCA
This 95-nucleotide transfer RNA is filed under the name Ostreococcus lucimarinus virus OlV4. RNAcentral's name for it is "tRNA-Tyr". It matches the Rfam family "tRNA". Rfam says of the family: Transfer RNA (tRNA) molecules are approximately 80 nucleotides in length. Their secondary structure includes four short double-helical elements and three loops (D, anti-codon, and T loops). RNAcentral also lists the same sequence under 1 other name. Lineage: Varidnaviria; Bamfordvirae; Nucleocytoviricota; Megaviricetes; Algavirales; Phycodnaviridae. The record is from RNAcentral.